Molecule: small nuclear RNA, 105 nt
Organism: Microcebus murinus (gray mouse lemur)
Lineage: Eukaryota; Metazoa; Chordata; Mammalia; Primates; Cheirogaleidae
Source: Ensembl
GUGCUCGCUGGGCAGCGCUGCUACUAAAACCACAACAUGCAGAGAAGAUUAAUGUGGUUCCUGAGAAAGCAUGACAUGGAAAUCCAUGAGGCAUCCCAGAUUUUU